AGUGAACGCUGGCGGUAGGCCUAACACAUGCAAGUCGAACGGCAGCACAGUAAGAGCUUGCUCUUACGGGUGGCGAGUGGCGGACGGGUGAGGAAUACAUCGGAAUCUACUUUUUCGUGGGGGAUAACGUAGGGAAACUUACGCUAAUACCGCAUACGACCUACGGGUGAAAGCAGGGGAUCUUCGGACCUUGCGCGAUUGAAUGAGCCGAUGUCGGAUUAGCUAGUUGGCGGGGUAAAGGCCCACCAAGGCGUCGAUCCGUAGCUGGUCUGAGAGGAUGAUAAGCCACACUGGAACUGAGACACGGUCCAGACUCCUACGGGAGGCAGCAGUGGGGAAUAUUGGACAAUGGGCGCAAGCCUGAUCCAGCCAUACCGCGUGGGUGAAGAAGGCCUUCGGGUUGUAAAGCCCUUUUGUUGGGAAAGAAAAGCAGCAGGUUAAUACCCCGCUGUUCUGACGGUACCCAAAGAAUAAGCACCGGCUAACUUCGUG
This 492-nucleotide ribosomal RNA is filed under the name uncultured bacterium. RNAcentral describes it as "partial 16S ribosomal RNA". It matches the Rfam family "Bacterial small subunit ribosomal RNA", at positions 29 to 507 of the family's 1533-position model. The record is from RNAcentral.